UGAGCUGAGGCGUGAUGACGAGGAACCACGGUUCCGAAGUGAUUGAUACCAAGCUUCCAGGAAAAGCCACUAAGCUUCAGUCUAGAGUUGACCGUACCGCAAACCGACACAGGUGGGCAGGAUGAAAAUUCUAAGGCGCUUGAGAGAACUCAGGAGAAGGAACUCGGCAAAUUAACACCGUAACUUCGGGAGAAGGUGUGCCCCGGUAGCGUGUAGAGACUUGCUCUCGAAGCGCGAUGGGGUUGCAGUGAAAUGGUGGCUGCGACUGUUUAAUAAAAACACAGCACUCUGCAAACACGAAAGUGGACGUAUAGGGUGUGACGCCUGCCCGGUGCCGGAAGGUUAAGUGAUGGGGUGCAAGCUCUUGAUCGAAGCCCCGGUAAACGGCGGCCGUAACAAUAACGGUCCUAAGGUAGCGAAAUUCCUUGUCGGGUAAGUUCCGACCUGCACGAAUGGCGUAACGAUGGCCACACUGUCUCCUCCUGGGACUCAGCGAAGUUGAAAUGUUUGUGAAGAUGCAAUCUACCCGCGGCUAGACGGAAAGACCCCAUGAACCUUUACUGUAGCUUUGCAUUGGACUUUGAACCGGUUUGUGUAGGAUAGGUGGGAGACUGUGAAGCCGGGACGCUAGUUUCGGUGGAGUCAACCUUGAAAUACCACCCUGAUUUGUUUGAGGUUCUAACCUUGGUCCGUGAAUCCGGAUCGGGGACCGUGCAUGGUAGGCAGUUUGACUGGGGCGGUCUCCUCCCAAAAGGUAACGGAGGAGUACGAAGGUACGCUUAGGGCGGUCGGACAUCGCCCACAAAGUGCAAUGGCAAAAGCGUGCUUGACUGCGAGACCCACAAGUCGAGCAGGUACGAAAGUAGGUCAUAGUGAUCCGGUGUUCUGUAUGGAAGGGCCAUCGCUCAACGGAUAAAAGGUACUCUGGGGAUAACAGGCUAAUUCCUCCCAAGAGUUCAUAUCGACGGGGGAGUUUGGCACCUCGAUGUCGGCUCAUCACAUCCUGGGGCUGUAGUCGGUCCCAAGGGUAUGGCUGUUCGCCAUUUAAAGUGGUACGCGAGCUGGGUUUAAAACGUCGUGAGACAGUUCGGUCCCUAUCUGCCGUGGGCGCUGGAAAUUUGAAGGGGGCUGCUCCUAGUACGAGAGGACCGGAGUGGACGAACCUCUGGUGUACCGGUUAUGACGCCAGUCGUAUCGCCGGGUAGCUAAGUUCGGAAGAGAUAAACGCUGAAAGCAUCUAAGCGUGAAACUCGCCUUAAGAUAAGAUUUCCCGGAGUCUUGAACUCCCUGAAGGGUCGUCGAAGACCACGACGUUGAUAGGUCAGGUGUGGAAGCGCAGCAAUGCGUUAAGCUAACUGAUACUAAUUGCCCGUGCGGCUUGAUCCU
This 1386-nucleotide ribosomal RNA is filed under the name metagenome. Its description in RNAcentral is "bacterial LSU rRNA". It matches the Rfam family "Bacterial large subunit ribosomal RNA", at positions 1552 to 2925 of the family's 2925-position model. The record is from RNAcentral.